GGUUAAGCGACUAAGCGUACACGGUGGAUGCCCUGGCAGUCAGAGGCGAUGAAGGGCGUGCUAAUCUGCGAUAAGCGCCGGUAAGGUGAUAUGAACCGUUAUAACCGGCGAUACCCGAAUGGGGAAACCCAGUGUGACUCGUCACACUAUCAUUAACUGAAUCCAUAGGUUAAUGAGGCGAACCGGGGGAACUGAAACAUCUAAGUACCCCGAGGAAAAGAAAUCAACCGAGAUUCCCCCAGUAGCGGCGAGCGAACGGGGAGGAGCCCAGAGCCUGAAUCAGCAUGUGUGUUAGUGGAAGCGUCUGGAAAGGCGCGCGAUACAGGGUGACAGCCCCGUACACAAAAGCGCAUGUGCUGUGAGCUCGAUGAGUAGGGCGGGACACGUGGUAUCCUGUCUGAAUAUGGGGGGACCAUCCUCCAAGGCUAAAUACUCCUGACUGACCGAUAGUGAACCAGUACCGUGAGGGAAAGGCGAAAAGAACCCCGGCGAGGGGAGUGAAAAAGAACCUGAAACCGUGUACGUACAAGCAGUGGGAGCACAGGUUUACCUGUGUGACUGCGUACCUUUUGUAUAAUGGGUCAGCGACUUAUAUUCUGUAGCAAGGUUAACCGCAUAGGGGAGCCGGAGGGAAACCGAGUCUUAAUUGGGCGUUAAGUUGCAGGGUAUAGACCCGAAACCCGGUGAUCUAGCCAUGGGCAGGUUGAAGGUUGGGUAACACUAACUGGAGGACCGAACCGACUAAUGUUGAAAAAUUAGCGGAUGACCUGUGGCUGGGGGUGAAAGGCCAAUCAAACCGGGAGAUAGCUGGUUCUCCCCGAAAGCUAUUUAGGUAGCGCCUCGUGAAUUCAUCUCCGGGGGUAGAGCACUGUUUCGGCUAGGGGGCCAUCCCGGCUUACCAACCCGAUGCAAACUGCGAAUACCGGAGAAUGUUAUCACGGGAGACACACGGCGGGUGCUAACGUCCGUCGUGAAGAGGGAAACAACCCAGACCGCCAGCUAAGGUCCCAAAGUCAUGGUUAAGUGGGAAACGAUGUGGGAAGGCCCAGACAGCCAGGAUGUUGGCUUAGAAGCAGCCAUCAUUUAAAGAAAGCGUAAUAGCUCACUGGUCGAGUCGGCCUGCGCGGAAGAUGUAACGGGGCUAAACCAUGCACCGAAGCUGCGGCAGCGACGCUGAUGCGUUGUUGGGUAGGGGAGCGUUCUGUAAGCCUGUGAAGGUGGCCUGUGAGGGUUGCUGGAGGUAUCAGAAGUGCGAAUGCUGACAUAAGUAACGAUAAAGCGGGUGAAAAGCCCGCUCGCCGGAAGACCAAGGGUUCCUGUCCAACGUUAAUCGGGGCAGGGUGAGUCGACCCCUAAGGCGAGGCCGAAAGGCGUAGUCGAUGGGAAACGGGUUAAUAUUCCCGUACUUGGUGUUACUGCGAAGGGGGGACGGAGAAGGCUAUGUUGGCCGGGCGACGGUUGUCCCGGUUUAAGCGUGUAGGUGUGUGUUCCAGGUAAAUCCGGUUCACUUUAACACUGAGGCGUGAUGACGAGGCACUACGGUGCUGAAGCAACAAAUGCCCUGCUUCCAGGAAAAGCCUCUAAGCAUCAGGUAACAUCAAAUCGUACCCCAAACCGACACAGGUGGUCAGGUAGAGAAUACCAAGGCGCUUGAGAGAACUCGGGUGAAGGAACUAGGCAAAAUGGUGCCGUAACUUCGGGAGAAGGCACGCUGACAUGUAGGUGAAGUGAUUUACUCACGGAGCUGAAGUCAGUCGAAGAUACCAGCUGGCUGCAACUGUUUAUUAAAAACACAGCACUGUGCAAACACGAAAGUGGACGUAUACGGUGUGACGCCUGCCCGGUGCCGGAAGGUUAAUUGAUGGGGUCAGCGCAAGCGAAGCUCCUGAUCGAAGCCCCGGUAAACGGCGGCCGUAACUAUAACGGUCCUAAGGUAGCGAAAUUCCUUGUCGGGUAAGUUCCGACCUGCACGAAUGGCGUAAUGAUGGCCAGGCUGUCUCCACCCGAGACUCAGUGAAAUUGAACUCGCUGUGAAGAUGCAGUGUACCCGCGGCAAGACGGAAAGACCCCGUGAACCUUUACUAUAGCUUGACACUGAACAUUGAGCCUUGAUGUGUAGGAUAGGUGGGAGGCUUUGAAGUGUGGACGCCAGUCUGCAUGGAGCCGACCUUGAAAUACCACCCUUUAAUGUUUGAUGUUCUAACGUGGACCCGUUACCCGGGUUGCGGACAGUGUCUGGUGGGUAGUUUGACUGGGGCGGUCUCCUCCUAAAGAGUAACGGAGGAGCACGAAGGUUGGCUAAUCCUGGUCGGACAUCAGGAGGUUAGUGCAAUGGCAUAAGCCAGCUUGACUGCGAGCGUGACGGCGCGAGCAGGUGCGAAAGCAGGUCAUAGUGAUCCGGUGGUUCUGAAUGGAAGGGCCAUCGCUCAACGGAUAAAAGGUACUCCGGGGAUAACAGGCUGAUACCGCCCAAGAGUUCAUAUCGACGGCGGUGUUUGGCACCUCGAUGUCGGCUCAUCACAUCCUGGGGCUGAAGUAGGUCCCAAGGGUAUGGCUGUUCGCCAUUUAAAGUGGUACGCGAGCUGGGUUUAGAACGUCGUGAGACAGUUCGGUCCCUAUCUGCCGUGGGCGCUGGAGAACUGAGGGGGGCUGCUCCUAGUACGAGAGGACCGGAGUGGACGCAUCACUGGUGUUCGGGUUGUCAUGCCAAUGGCACUGCCCGGUAGCUAAAUGCGGAAGAGAUAAGUGCUGAAAGCAUCUAAGCACGAAACUUGCCCCGAGAUGAGUUCUCCCUGAGACUUAGAGUCUCCUGAAGGAACGUUGAAGACGACGACGUUGAUAGGCCGGGUGUGUAAGCGCAGCGAUGCGUUGAGCUAACCGGUACUAAUGAACCGUGAGGCUUAACCUUAC
Molecule: ribosomal RNA, 2910 nt
Filed under: Salmonella enterica subsp. enterica serovar Cubana str. CFSAN001083
Lineage: Bacteria; Pseudomonadati; Pseudomonadota; Gammaproteobacteria; Enterobacterales; Enterobacteriaceae
Description: bacterial LSU rRNA
Rfam family: Bacterial large subunit ribosomal RNA
Source: RNAcentral